CUGCAAGUCAUGCCCCGCCGGCGACUUCACAGUGCCUUCUGCCUGGGCUUCUCCGCAGCCCCUCCAGCUUCCUGUGGAGUUAUUCUUAAGAAAAUACAUUGCAAGCCCUAAGGAGUAACCGUGCAAGCAGCUGAAACGUGCCUGGAUGCAUAUUCAUCUAUGCUGGAAUUGAAUCUUGAGGUAAACCCAGAAACUACACAUCUCAAAGUUGUAUGAGUUCAUAUGACUGGCUCCCUUGUGGAGAAGCAGCAGAAUGAAGAACUAUAGUAUGUGAAGAGGCACCACCGCCACCUCAACCUU
This is a long non-coding RNA of Lontra canadensis (Northern American river otter), 300 nucleotides long. RefSeq lists it as uncharacterized. Lineage: Eukaryota; Metazoa; Chordata; Mammalia; Carnivora; Mustelidae. The transcript is spliced from 3 exons. The record is from RefSeq and is a predicted model, not a curated record.